RNAcentral lists this ribosomal RNA (173 nucleotides) under Sphingobium sp. enrichment culture. Its description in RNAcentral is "partial 16S ribosomal RNA". It matches the Rfam family "Bacterial small subunit ribosomal RNA", at positions 337 to 524 of the family's 1533-position model. The record is from RNAcentral. Lineage: Bacteria; Pseudomonadati; Pseudomonadota; Alphaproteobacteria; Sphingomonadales; Sphingobiaceae.
UCCUACGGGAGGCAGCAGUAGGGAAUAUUGGACAAUGGGCGAAAGCCUGAUCCAGCAAUGCCGCGUGAGUGAUGAAGGCCUUAGGGUUGUAAAGCUCUUUUACCCAGGAGAUGAUAAUGACAGUACUCGGGGGAAUAAGCCCCGGCUAACUCCGUGCCAGCAGCCGCGGUAAU